RNAcentral lists this ribosomal RNA (253 nucleotides) under uncultured bacterium. Its description in RNAcentral is "partial 16S ribosomal RNA". It matches the Rfam family "Bacterial small subunit ribosomal RNA", at positions 524 to 776 of the family's 1533-position model. The record is from RNAcentral.
UACGUAGGGGGCAAGCGUUGUUCGGAAUUACUGGGCGUAAAGGGCUCGUAGGCGGCCAACUAAGUCGGAUGUGAAAUCCCCAGGCUUAACCUGGGAACUGCAUCCGAUACUGGAUGGCUUGAAUCCGGGAGAGGGAUGCAGAAUUCCAGGUGUAGCGGUGAAAUGCGUAGAUAUCUGGAGGAAUACCGGUGGCGAAGGCGGCAUCCUGGACCGGCAUUGACGCUGAUGAGCGAAAGCUAGGGGAGCAAACGGG